This 449-nucleotide ribosomal RNA is filed under the name uncultured bacterium. RNAcentral describes it as "bacterial SSU rRNA". It matches the Rfam family "Bacterial small subunit ribosomal RNA", at positions 335 to 799 of the family's 1533-position model. The record is from RNAcentral.
ACUCCUACGGGAGGCAGCAGUGGGGAAUAUUGCACAAUGGGCGCAAGCCUGAUGCAGCAACGCCGCGUGAGCGAUGAAGGCCUUCGGGUCGUAAAGCUCUGUCCUCAAGGAAGAAUAAAUGACGGUACUUGAGGAGGAAGCCCCGGCUAACUACGUGCCAGCAGCCGCGGUAAUACGUAGGGGGCAAGCGUUAUCCGGAAUCACUGGGCGUAAAGGGUGCGUAGGCGGUUUUUCAAGUCAGAAGUGAAAGGCUAUGGCUCAACCAUAGUAAGCUUUUGAAACUGUUAAACUUGAGUGCAGGAGAGGAAAGUGGAAUUCCUAGUGUAGAGGUGAAAUUCGUAGAUAUUAGGAGGAACACCAGUGGCGAAGGCGACUUUCUGGACUGUAACUGACGCUGAGGCACGAAAGCGUGGGGAGCGAACAGGAUUAGAUACCCUGGUAGCACAGAG